GCGUAGCACUGCUUGUAGCAGCGGCAGAACUUGGACAUGGCCGCCGCCGGCCGCUGCUGCGUCGUCGACAGGAGCACGACGACGAGCAGGCACCAGGCAGCGAGCCUCUUGCCCUCCAUUGUACUACUACCGGCUUCUUCUUCUAUCUUCUGGGUAUUUCCUAGUAUCAUAUCAUAUAUUGCCACACAAAUUUAAUUGAUCAGAAUGUAUGCAGAAAAAUAAACUGGACGAAAUGGAAAAUACCCUUGAGAUCAAUUCUACUGUUCGAUGUGCUCCUCCUCUGCUUGCUGAUUGCACAUGUACGUACGGCGGUAUAUAUAGACUCUCAAGCUGAUGAUUUAUUUUGCCUAGUAAAUGAGUAAUAAAUAAAUUUAAAUUAAUUAUAUGCCUGUAACGCACAUGCAGGCAA
RNAcentral lists this long non-coding RNA (409 nucleotides) under Sorghum bicolor (sorghum). RNAcentral describes it as "long non-coding RNA (SBIC_LNC005902)". Lineage: Eukaryota; Viridiplantae; Streptophyta; Magnoliopsida; Poales; Poaceae. The record is from RNAcentral.